RNAcentral lists this transfer RNA (71 nucleotides) under Marmota monax (woodchuck). Its description in RNAcentral is "tRNA.Ala". It matches the Rfam family "tRNA". From Rfam's summary of the family: Transfer RNA (tRNA) molecules are approximately 80 nucleotides in length. Their secondary structure includes four short double-helical elements and three loops (D, anti-codon, and T loops). The record is from RNAcentral. Lineage: Eukaryota; Metazoa; Chordata; Mammalia; Rodentia; Sciuridae.
GGGGUUGUGGCUCAGUAGCAGAGCACUUGCCUAGCAUGUGAGAGGCCCUGGGUUCAAUUCUCAGCACCACA